This 253-nucleotide ribosomal RNA is filed under the name uncultured bacterium. RNAcentral describes it as "partial 16S ribosomal RNA". It matches the Rfam family "Bacterial small subunit ribosomal RNA", at positions 524 to 776 of the family's 1533-position model. The record is from RNAcentral.
UACGAAGGGGGCUAGCGUUGCUCGGAAUCACUGGGCGUAAAGCGCACGUAGGCGGCUUUUUAAGUCAGGGGUGAAAUCCUGGAGCUCAACUCCAGAACUGCCUUUGAUACUGGGAAGCUUGAGUCCGGGAGAGGUGAGUGGAACUCCGAGUGUAGAGGUGAAAUUCGUAGAUAUUCGGAAGAACACCCGUGGCGAAGGCGGUUCUCUGGGACGGUACUGACGCUGAGACGCGAAAGCGUGGGGAGCGAACAGG